RNAcentral lists this ribosomal RNA (532 nucleotides) under uncultured bacterium. RNAcentral's name for it is "bacterial SSU rRNA". It matches the Rfam family "Bacterial small subunit ribosomal RNA", at positions 777 to 1314 of the family's 1533-position model. The record is from RNAcentral.
AAUAGAUACCCGGGUAGUCCACGCCCUAAACGAUGAAUACUAGAUGUUAGCGAUAUACAGUUAGCGUCAAAGCGAAAGCAUUAAGUAUUCCACCUGGGGAGUACGCCCGCAAGGGUGAAACUCAAAGGAAUUGACGGGGGGCCCGCACAAGCGGAGGAGCAUGUGGUUUAAUUCGAUGAUACGCGAGGAACCUUACCCGGGCUUGAAAGUUACUGAAGUAUCCAGAGAUGGGUACGUCCUUCGGGACAGGAAACUAGGUGCUGCAUGGCUGUCGUCAGCUCGUGCCGUGAGGUGUUGGGUUAAGUCCGCAACGAGCGCAACCCCUAUGUUUAGUUGCCAGCAUGUCAUGGUGGGGACUCUAAACAGACUGCCUGUGCAAACAGAGAGGAAGGCGGGGACGACGUCAAGUCAUCAUGGCCCUUACGUCCGGGGCUACACACGUGCUACAAUGGAUGGUACAGCGGGCAGCUACCUGGUAACAGGAUGCCAAUCUCGAAAGCCAUUCACAGUUCGGAUAGAGGUCUGCUAACCG